CCCGUGGUUUAAUUGAAUCAGUUGAAAUUUACCAAAUAAAAGUUAAAUUGGUUCAUUGGAUUAUUAUAACAACGAUUUUAUUCUUCUUUGGAUUUUCAUUAACAUUGAAGUACACAUGCAUACACACAAGCAUACAUACAACAUUAUGCUCCAAAAUGGCAUUUAAACUCAUUGAGACCAACAACAAUUUUUUUACCUAUUACAUAGUGGUCAACAACAACAACUAAAACUUGAUCGCAUCUCAGCGCAACCGGUUUCAUAAACCUUAUAUACAUACAACCUACCUUAUAUAUACAACCAAAACCCGAAACCGCAUUAUUUUUUUUUCAUGUUGCACACCAGUCAAAUGAUUCGUUUUGUUAGGUUGCAACACAUGCCAAAAUUCAAUACUGGCAUAUCGCUAGAAUGAACUUUAAAAAUUGGUGGAAUGAGCAUCACUGUUUUAUAUAAUAACAAGCAAACAUAAUACGUGUUAUAAAUCCACUGUGAAAAUAAUAAUAAAAAAACUAAAUAUACCAGUAAACGUUUACAAAACAGCAUAAAGUUGGUGUGCGCGGGACGGAUACCACAACUAUCGCCAUAUAUAUCCAAUGAGCUACUAAAAAUCUAAACGCAAAAGUAACGAAUAUCGAACUAAAUAAAGGAAUAAAAAAACGGCAAAACGAAAACCUGUUGAAACUUCGAACGUAUACGCGGCUUACAAUAUUAUUCUGUUGACAUUUGACUGCAACAGCAUGACAGCAUAACACCAUAACACAUAAAGAGCGUUUUUUUGUGUUGUUUUAUUUAUAUAAUUUUUUAACCAAAGAUUGGUCAUUUUUUUUCAAAUUUUAUUUGCGAUUGAAAUGUUCAACGUCUCAAUAACAUUUUAUAAAUAUUUCGAACCAAAAUGUUCUGUUUAGUUGAUAAAAGUUAAUAACUAUUCUAUUUUGAACAUAAACACGAUUUGUUCUCUUUAUUUUGUUAAUUUUAUUUAGUUUUACUAAUAAUUUACCAUUAUUGAACCAAAUAUUAUUGCUGCUGUAUUCUGGUUUCAGUAAAUCGAAUUGUUGUCUAUUAUACGUACUUCGCUUGCAAUUAAUAGUCUUACGGUGCAUUAAUUUUAAGAGUGCUAACGCCAGUUUAAUUUUUGUGAUUUGAUGCAAUCAACGAAUGUUGUUUCAUAAAAAAGUUUUUAAAGCAGAAGAGUGCAGUGACUUGUGAAAAUUUUCUAGAGAAAUUCUUAUAAUUUUGAAGUGAAAAUGUAAGUUGAAGUUAGCUUAAGUGAAAUUCUGCACAUAAGGAUUAAUUAACCACGAACAACAAUUUAAACGAUAUUCUACUACCGACAGUUCCCCGACUCGAAUUUCAAUAAAAAUCUAGUAUACAAUCAACAAAAUGACAAACUGCCAUAAAACGGACCUUCGUCAAAUAGAUGGCUGCUACUUUACGUAACAAGAAAUAUCAUACAGCGGUCUUCCGAAACGAACGUAUAAAGAAACACGUUUUACGAGAGCCUUGUAAGUUAUAUUUU
Molecule: long non-coding RNA, 1513 nt
Organism: Bradysia coprophila
Lineage: Eukaryota; Metazoa; Arthropoda; Insecta; Diptera; Sciaridae
Source: RefSeq, a predicted model, not a curated record